Molecule: ribosomal RNA, 253 nt
Filed under: uncultured bacterium
Lineage: Bacteria
Description: partial 16S ribosomal RNA
Rfam family: Bacterial small subunit ribosomal RNA
Source: RNAcentral
UACGUAGGUGGCGAGCGUUGUCCGGAAUUACUGGGCGUAAAGGAUGCGUAGGUGGGUAAGUAAGUCAGAUGUGAAAUCCCCGGGCUCAACCCGGGAGGUGCAUUUGAAACUGCUAGCCUAGAGUGCAGGAGAGGUAAGUGGAAUUCCUAGUGUAGCGGUGAAAUGCGUAGAUAUUAGGAAGAACACCAGUGGCGAAGGCGACUUACUGGACUGUAACUGACACUGAGGCAUGAAAGCGUGGGGAGCAAACAGG